AAGUCGUAACAAGGUUUCCGUAGGUGAACCUGCGGAAGGAUCAUUUUUGGGUUUUAAUUUAUUGGGGCCGUUUAAUCGCGGCUUCCAAGCUAUGCAGUUUGCUGGGGUAAAACCCGGCUUACGUAAAUAGCAACCCCUUGUGAAUCGUGAGGCUUUGGCUUUUUUGAUGGCAUGGCCGGGGUUUUUUUUCGGCCUGUGUUUGAAAUUAGCGAAGGCCUCAUUUUUUUGGACUUCUGGCUUAAAAUCGAGCCUGUCUCUUCGCCAGAAGUACAAGCCUGAAAUUUGAAAUCAUGCUGGGGAAACAAAAACGUCUAGCUUUUUCUCAAAAGCCUGACAGCAUAAAUUGUUAAAGCAUAUACAACUUUUAACAGUGGAUCUCUUGGCUCCU
RNAcentral lists this unclassified non-coding RNA (388 nucleotides) under fungal sp. Its description in RNAcentral is "partial internal transcribed spacer region". The stretch from base 1 to 46 matches the Rfam family "Eukaryotic small subunit ribosomal RNA", at positions 1786 to 1831 of the family's 1831-position model. The record is from RNAcentral. Lineage: Eukaryota; Fungi.